GCAUUUGUAGCUCAGUGGAUAGAGUGUGUUGUUUCUAAGCAGAAGGUCGUGGGUUCGUACCCUACCUGACGCA
Spinacia oleracea (spinach) is the source of this 73-nucleotide non-coding RNA. The record is from Rfam. NCBI's taxonomy places the organism in Eukaryota, Viridiplantae, Streptophyta, Magnoliopsida, Caryophyllales, Amaranthaceae.